UGUGUGUAUGUGUAUGUGUCUGUACAAGUAUGUACACUCAGAUGUACACACACACACACACACACACACAUACACA
Non-coding RNA from Brugia malayi, 76 nucleotides. NCBI's taxonomy places the organism in Eukaryota, Metazoa, Nematoda, Chromadorea, Rhabditida, Onchocercidae. The record is from RefSeq and is a predicted model, not a curated record.